GCGGGCGUGGUGGAACCGGUAGACACGCCGGCCUUAGGAGCCGGUGGCGCAAGCCGUGGGGGUUCGAGUCCCUCCGCCCGCA
This 82-nucleotide transfer RNA is filed under the name Solirubrobacteraceae bacterium. RNAcentral describes it as "tRNA-Leu". It matches the Rfam family "tRNA". Rfam says of the family: Transfer RNA (tRNA) molecules are approximately 80 nucleotides in length. Their secondary structure includes four short double-helical elements and three loops (D, anti-codon, and T loops). Further hydrogen bonds mediate the characteristic L-shaped molecular structure. tRNAs have two regions of fundamental functional importance: the anti-codon, which is responsible for specific mRNA codon recognition, and the 3' end, to which the tRNAs corresponding amino acid is attached (by aminoacyl-tRNA synthetases). tRNAs cope with the degeneracy of the genetic code in two manners: having more than one tRNA (with a specific anti-codon) for a particular amino acid; and 'wobble' base-pairing, i.e. permitting non-standard base-pairing at the 3rd anti-codon position. The record is from RNAcentral. RNAcentral also lists the same sequence under 2 other names. Lineage: Bacteria; Bacillati; Actinomycetota; Thermoleophilia; Solirubrobacterales; Solirubrobacteraceae.